GAAACUAACUAGGAUUCCCUUAGUAACGGCGAGUGAACCGGGAUGAGCUCAAAUUUAAAAUCUGGCGUCUUUCAGGCGUCCGAGUUGUAAUCUAUAGAGGCGUUUUCCGCGCCGGACCGCGUCCAAGUCUCUUGGAAUAGAGUAUCAAAGAGGGUGACAAUCCCGUACUUGACGCGACAACCGGUGCUCUGUGAUACGUUCUCAAUGAGUCGAGUUGUUUGGGAAUGCAGCUCUAAAUGGGUGGUAAAUUCCAUCUAAGGCUAAAUAUUGGCGAGAGACCGAUAGCGAACAAGUACCGUGAGGGAAAGAUGAAAAGCACUUUGGAAAGAGAGUUAAACAGCACGUGAAAUUGUUAAAAGGGAAACGAUUGAAGUCAGUCGUGUGAAAGGUAUUCAGCCGUCUCUGGCGGUGUAUUUGCCUUUCACGGGUCAACAUCAGUUUGAUCCGGUAGAAAAAGGCGGGAGGAAGGUGGCACCCUCGGGUGUGUUAUAGCCUCCUGUCAUAUGUGCCGGACCAGACUGAGGAACGCAGCUUGCCGCAAGGCCGGGGUUCGCCCACGUACAAGCUUAGGA
This 572-nucleotide ribosomal RNA is filed under the name Vishniacozyma victoriae. Its description in RNAcentral is "partial large subunit ribosomal RNA". It matches the Rfam family "Eukaryotic large subunit ribosomal RNA", at positions 61 to 618 of the family's 3401-position model. Lineage: Eukaryota; Fungi; Basidiomycota; Tremellomycetes; Tremellales; Bulleribasidiaceae. The record is from RNAcentral.